AUGUUACUCCCUCCGUCCAAAAAUACUUGUCAUCAAAAUGGAUAGAAGGAGAUGUAGCUAGAAUUAAAAUACGUCUAGAUACAUCAUCUUUUAUCCAUUUUGAUGACAAGUAUUUCCAGACGGAGGGAGUACAAU
Non-coding RNA from Triticum aestivum (bread wheat), 135 nucleotides. Lineage: Eukaryota; Viridiplantae; Streptophyta; Magnoliopsida; Poales; Poaceae. The record is from Rfam.